AUUGAACGCUGGCGGCAGGCUUAACACAUGCAAGUCGAGCGGUAGCACUGGGGAGCUUGCUCCCUGGGUGACGAGCGGCGGACGGGUGAGUAAUGUCUGGGAAACUGCCUGAUGGAGGGGGAUAACUACUGGAAACGGUAGCUAAUACCGCAUAACGUCGCAAGACCAAAGAGGGGGACCUUCGGGCCUCUUGCCAUCAGAUGUGCCCAGAUGGGAUUAGCUAGUAGGUGGGGUAAUGGCUCACCUAGGCGACGAUCCCUAGCUGGUCUGAGAGGAUGACCAGCCACACUGGAACUGAGACACGGUCCAGACUCCUACGGGAGGCAGCAGUGGGGAAUAUUGCACAAAGGGCGCAAGCCUGAUGCAGCCAUGCCGCGUGUGUGAAGAAGGCCUUCGGGUUGUAAAGCACUUUCAGCGAGGAGGAAGGUGGUGAGCUUAAUACGUUCAUCAAUUGACGUUACUCGCAGAAGAAGCACCGGCUAACUCCGUG
Molecule: ribosomal RNA, 490 nt
Filed under: uncultured bacterium
Lineage: Bacteria
Description: partial 16S ribosomal RNA
Rfam family: Bacterial small subunit ribosomal RNA
Source: RNAcentral